AGGAGGUGAAACUAUCCUGGGUGGAUCGAAAGGAGGAGGAGGACAGGGACAGGGACAUAGCAGCUGGCUGAGUAGGACAAAGCCCCAUCCCAUCUGCAAAGCCUGGGGCAACAAAAGACGCAUUUUAAAGAUUUUAAAAAAGCUUAUCAUCCUGUGUUUUUGGAUACUGUCAUUAACCUCAGAAGCUGCUUGAGGUCUCCAUGUGCACGUCCGCAAGUACAUUAAAAUGCAAGAUCACAAGACUGUUCCCCCGACAACUCAUUGAUUUUAAACAGGACAAAGUAUUUGAGCUGCUGAAAAACAGCCCAGAUAGUGUCAGACGGCAACAGCCUUAUCAGGGUGGGAAAACGACAGAUAAAUCAUCAAAUGGCACUUUAUGAAAGAGCGUUAUUUUAUCUCGGUGAUGCCAUACUGACUGUAGAGGCAAUGAAACAAAUGAUCCUGGCAGGGGAAAUGCAUCAGCAAGUGCAACAUACACGAGACAAGUGCCACAGGCUGUGUUCUUCUCACUGAGCAAGGUUGUGGGUGAGAAACCAACAGCUUUUGUCAACAGACUUUGUCGUGGCUGGAGGAGUUCCCAGUUAAUUUACAAUGGCGAGACCUUUGCUUCCACAGCAGCACAAAUAGUGUUGCACAAUCAGCGGGACCGUGCUUAUAACUGGCGCUCACCGACUGCCAUCUUGUCCCAGAGUCCUGAAUUAAAAUACAUACUUAUCAGGAUAGGAGGAGGAAAUAUGUCAUGUUAGCUGGUGCUAGCAACAAGUACCAGAACCUUUGGUUCCGGUCCUACAGUACAGUGUGUUGAGAGCCACCGGCUCCCCUGUACAGCCUGGGAAUUCAGGGAGCAGUAAGUGGAAGUGAAGGGAGGGAUUAUUAGGGUUUUUGCAGAAAUAUUCAAUAAAUCAGCAUGAAACACUACUUUUUAAAGCACAAUUCUAUAUCUAAAUUAGUAUAAUGCACUUGUACGUUCUUAUUUUUGUACACAAAAUGUCUCUCCAUAUACAUUUGCCUGAUGGAAAUAUUAAAAGCUGUAUAUAUGUAUGUGUAUAUAUAUAUAUAUAUAUAUAUAUAUAUAUAUAUAUAUAUAUAUAUAUCCUGUUUUAGUUCUAACAACCACUUUUUUUACUGCAAGAGACCUACAGCUGGCCAGACACAUCAGGGGGGAAAAGGAGGUAAAGCUGUACCUAACUGGUGGUUUUUAAGCUUUAAGGUGGCCUGGCUAUGUGGCACUUCAUUAGCUGGGCCCUCCUUCAGUCUCUGAAGCAGCACUGAAAGCCGAAAAAAGCUACCGAAUGGAAACUGAAAGCUACGAAUUGGCUCAGAAGCUGCCAAAUGGAAGCCAAAGCUGCAAUUUGGACGUGAACAGAGCCUACCAGAGAGCACACAUAGUGUGUGGAAGAGGGCCUGGACUAGGGGUAAGUGGUUGGAAGAGCUAGGUGCCUGGUGCCACCUUCAAAUUUGCACCCUAGGCACGUGCCUCUUCUGCCUACCCUUAGUUCCAGGCCUAGAGCAGAAAGCCACCGGUUGGAGCCGAAAGCCACCGAUUGAAGAUGAAAGCUGCAGGAGCUGCCAAAUAGAGCCUAAAGCCUCUGAAUGGAGCUGAAAAAGAGGAGAAGGUGCAGAAAGGCAAAGUCGACACAAUGGAGCCGAAGAAUAGGAGAACAAAGAAGACCUUUAAAGAAGCCCAAAGUUCUAUAACCGAAGAAGAGUGAGGGGAGUACAACGCACCUACUAUCAUGAUGGCCUUUUAACCCUAAACAAAGGACGAGAAGGAUAAUAGGUCUAUUUUUUCCUGUUUGUACAUGAGAAGAAGCCCAAUUAAGUAAGUUAGUGGUUCCCUCCCCCCAUUCAAAUGUGAGUAAAUUCUGCUAAGCCACUUGGCACUUGAUAAUAAUAGAAGGUAGAAACUGUUCACAGAGUAAGCCCAAACCAUUCAUUUUUGUAACUAUUUUCAGGUUUUUUUUUUGCAGAUCAGCAAGUUCUUUCACCAGUUCAGAACUAGGCUAAAUUAGUUCUCUCAUACCUAUUAAUAUUAUAGAACACUGCAUGGAGAAAUUUCAGGGUUACCCUACACCAUCUGGUGGCCAUAUGUAAUACUGCAUGUUGCAAACAACCCCUUGCCAUCCUUAUAUGAAACAUGAGCUCUUGUCUACCCCAAAAAACCUUUGAUGUAAUUUUUUUAAUAGUUACACAUAAUGUAUCCGAUGUUGAACUGGGGUGCCAUUGCCUCAAGGUUAUUGCUUGUGCUUCACAGGUGAUUUAUCCGAAUUGCGCCCUUUGUUGUCCUUUUACGUGUUAUUGUACCUUCGUCUUGUAGUUUGUUAAAAAGAUUAUUGGGGAAGAACAAUCGUGCAAACAUUAAUAAAGGUAAAAGUAUCAAUAUGAGUGAAAAUAUAAACAAAAAGAAUGGUAUUAAAAUUAAAUGGUAUUAGAUGUGGAUGUGGGAAUUACAGGGAAUUGGGGAUUAGCCUUUUGUGACUAAGCACCACUGCCAGUUUACCAAAUUACAGAUAUUCUUAACCACUUGUGGCCAAUCAUAAAAUUACGUUCUAGAGCUGAGAGGUUUUUUUCACCAGAUAUAGUCUUCUGCUGAAAUUUGCAGUCUUGCCAGCUACGAUAAUGUUUGUGAAUCUGCUCAAGAACUUCUCAAUGCCCAUUGUUUCACCAAUAAAAAAACUUUUUUUUAAUAUGGGAAAAACUAGAAAAAAGUGAGAAAAAAACACAGGUGGCAGUAUUAGCAUUUUGCCAUGUAUUUUGU
Long non-coding RNA from Xenopus laevis (African clawed frog), 2758 nucleotides. RefSeq lists it as uncharacterized. The transcript is spliced from 3 exons. The record is from RefSeq and is a predicted model, not a curated record. Lineage: Eukaryota; Metazoa; Chordata; Amphibia; Anura; Pipidae.